This 275-nucleotide long non-coding RNA is filed under the name Elaeis guineensis (African oil palm). RNAcentral's name for it is "long non-coding RNA (EGUI_LNC026765)". The record is from RNAcentral. Lineage: Eukaryota; Viridiplantae; Streptophyta; Magnoliopsida; Arecales; Arecaceae.
AUGUGGUGAAACGAACAAUUUAUAUAUGCAUCAUUUAGCAAAUACUUAAUGCUAAUUUAAGUAGGUAUCCAACUAAGAUAAAAAACAUAUGGUCCCAUUCCAAAACAAUUCCCUUUUUCUUUACUCCCUACUUUCAAUUUUUAACUAAUUUUGAUUGAUCAUCGUCCAUGCAUUAAUUACUAGCCAAUUACAUAAUUUGAUAUAUAAGCAUCCCAAGAGCCAAUAACAAGCUUUUAAUUGUGUUAUCGAUGAUUUAAACUAAAUAGCUAUGUCAG